Aethalodelphis obliquidens (Pacific white-sided dolphin) is the source of this 348-nucleotide long non-coding RNA. RefSeq lists it as uncharacterized. The record is from RefSeq and is a predicted model, not a curated record. NCBI's taxonomy places the organism in Eukaryota, Metazoa, Chordata, Mammalia, Artiodactyla, Delphinidae. The transcript has 3 exons.
AGAGAAGCAGCUAGGUGGUUCUGGACAUACUGGAUGUUAGAGCUGAAUGUGAGGGUCCUCUUAGCAAAAUCCAAACCCUUUAGCCGAGGAGGAAACUAAAACCCAAAGCAGUUAAAGCAGUGGUUCUCAACUGGGGUGACUGUCCAUCCCCACGGGACAUUAGGCAGUGUUUCUGGAGAGAUUUUUGGUUGUACAACUGAUGGAAAGCUUCUGGUGUCUAGUGGACAGAGACCUGGGAUGCUGCUAAAAAUCCUCUAGUGCACAGGACAGCCCACCACAACCAAGAAUUAUCUGUCCCAAAAUGUCAACAUUGCUGAGAUUAAGAAACCCUGACCUAGCCUGACUGAG